AGGACGAACGCUGGCGGCGUGCUUAACACAUGCAAGUCGAGCGGAAAGGCCCUUCGGGGUACUCGAGCGGCGAACGGGUGAGUAACACGUGAGUAAUCUGCCCCUAGCUCUGGGAUAGCUCCGGGAAACCGGGAUUAAUACCGGAUACGACCACUUUAGACAUCUGUUGUGGUGGAAAGAAUUUUGGCUAGGGAUGAGCUCGCGGCCUAUCAGCUUGUUGGUGGGGUAAUGGCCUACCAAGGCGACGACGGGUAGCCGGCCUGAGAGGGCGACCGGCCACACUGGGACUGAGACACGGCCCAGACUCCUACGGGAGGCAGCAGUGGGGAAUAUUGCGCAAUGGGCGAAAGCCUGACGCAGCGACGCCGCGUGGGGGAUGAAGGCCUUCGGGUUGUAAACCCGUUUCAGCAGGGACGAAGCGAAAGUGACGGUACCUGCAGAAGAAGCGCCGGCUAACUACGCGCCAGCAGCCGC
RNAcentral lists this ribosomal RNA (474 nucleotides) under uncultured bacterium. RNAcentral's name for it is "SSU rRNA". It matches the Rfam family "Bacterial small subunit ribosomal RNA", at positions 26 to 518 of the family's 1533-position model. The record is from RNAcentral.